AUUGAACGCUGGCGGCAUGCCUUACACAUGCAAGUCGAACGGUAACGGGCCUUCGGGUGCCGACGAGUGGCGAACGGGUGAGUAAUACAUCGGAACGUGCCCGAUCGUGGGGGAUAACGAGGCGAAAGCUUUGCUAAUACCGCAUACGAUCUACGGAUGAAAGCCGGGGACCGCAAGGCCUUGCGCGGACGGAGCGGCCGAUGGCAGAUUAGGUAGUUGGUGGGAUAAAAGCUUACCAAGCCGACGAUCUGUAGCUGGUCUGAGAGGAUGAUCAGCCACACUGGGACUGAGACACGGCCCAGACUCCUACGGGAGGCAGCAGUGGGGAAUUUUGGACAAUGGGCGCAAGCCUGAUCCAGCCAUGCCGCGUGCAGGAUGAAGGCCUUCGGGUUGUAAACUGCUUUUGUACGGGACGAAAAGCCUUCUUUUAAUACAGGAGGGUCAUGACGGUACCGUAAGAAUAAGCACCGGCUAACUACGUG
Molecule: ribosomal RNA, 482 nt
Filed under: uncultured bacterium
Lineage: Bacteria
Description: partial 16S ribosomal RNA
Rfam family: Bacterial small subunit ribosomal RNA
Source: RNAcentral